This is a non-coding RNA of Microcebus murinus (gray mouse lemur), 813 nucleotides long. The record is from RefSeq and is a predicted model, not a curated record. NCBI's taxonomy places the organism in Eukaryota, Metazoa, Chordata, Mammalia, Primates, Cheirogaleidae.
UGGCAGAAGCAUGUAAUCUUAUAGUUCCUGGCACCUGUGUUGGUUGCUCAGGUCCAAGCCAAGAGAGGAGACUAAGCAAAGAAAGGCUGCAUCUGCAGCCUCACUUCUGUAGGCCAGAAAUGACCAAGUGUGCACCAUGACUGGACGGGAACCGAAAGGGAACAGUUUAGCUUACACAGCUGGGAGCUUACAAAAAGUCCAUUUAUCUUAAGAGAAGUAUUUGGCUUUGUGUAAACAGUGCUGUUGCUCCAGGGCCUUUCUGGCAGUCCGGACUUCCAGGCCAGCUCGGAAUCCCUUGUUAAUUGACUCAAGUCAUGAAAAGGUGCCAUCAAGGCUGCUUUGAACUCUUGCCUAUUCCAAAGCUGGACAAAUCUCAGGCAUGCACAGUAGGAACAGCAGUAAUGAGACUCACACCUCCGAGUUUACAGCGCAGGAUUUUGCCCGUUCAGGUGUGAAUAAACCAGCAGACCAGAAUGAAAAUGGGAGACCAAUUCAGAGACAAUCUCAGUGGUGCAGGCGGGAGGUGACAGAGACCUAGACAAGGCGGUGGCAGAUGAAGAUGAACAGAAGAGGUGGACUUCAGAUUCCUGCUGGACACCAUAUGAAUACCUUGGUGACAGUUUGAAUGUGGGGCGUGAGGUAAAAGGGAAUUUCAAGAGUUAUUUCUGGCUUGAGUACCCAGGUGGGCCGUGGUGCCAUUUACUGAAAUCGGAUUACUGGGAGAGGGAUGGGUUUCAGUCAUGUAUUAUAAGUGACAUCAGUUGGCACAGUCGUGUGGCUUUCUCCUGCAGUGCUGAGCUGGCACAGAGGAGA